This 1097-nucleotide ribosomal RNA is filed under the name Cellulosimicrobium sp. BE283. RNAcentral's name for it is "bacterial SSU rRNA". It matches the Rfam family "Bacterial small subunit ribosomal RNA", at positions 346 to 1451 of the family's 1533-position model. Lineage: Bacteria; Bacillati; Actinomycetota; Actinomycetes; Micrococcales; Promicromonosporaceae. The record is from RNAcentral.
AGGCAGCAGUGGGGAAUAUUGCACAAUGGGCGAAAGCCUGAUGCAGCGACGCCGCGUGAGGGAUGAAGGCCUUCGGGUUGUAAACCUCUUUCAGCAGGGAAGAAGCGCAAGUGACGGUACCUGCAGAAGAAGCGCCGGCUAACUACGUGCCAGCAGCCGCGGUAAUACGUAGGGCGCAAGCGUUGUCCGGAAUUAUUGGGCGUAAAGAGCUCGUAGGCGGUUUGUCGCGUCUGGUGUGAAAACUCGAGGCUCAACCUCGAGCUUGCAUCGGGUACGGGCAGACUAGAGUGCGGUAGGGGAGACUGGAAUUCCUGGUGUAGCGGUGGAAUGCGCAGAUAUCAGGAGGAACACCGAUGGCGAAGGCAGGUCUCUGGGCCGCAACUGACGCUGAGGAGCGAAAGCAUGGGGAGCGAACAGGAUUAGAUACCCUGGUAGUCCAUGCCGUAAACGUUGGGCACUAGGUGUGGGGCUCAUUCCACGAGUUCCGUGCCGCAGCAAACGCAUUAAGUGCCCCGCCUGGGGAGUACGGCCGCAAGGCUAAAACUCAAAGGAAUUGACGGGGGCCCGCACAAGCGGCGGAGCAUGCGGAUUAAUUCGAUGCAACGCGAAGAACCUUACCAAGGCUUGACAUGCACGGGAAGCCACCAGAGAUGGUGGUCUCUUUGGACACUCGUGCACAGGUGGUGCAUGGUUGUCGUCAGCUCGUGUCGUGAGAUGUUGGGUUAAGUCCCGCAACGAGCGCAACCCUCGUCCCAUGUUGCCAGCGGGUUAUGCCGGGGACUCAUGGGAGACUGCCGGGGUCAACUCGGAGGAAGGUGGGGAUGACGUCAAAUCAUCAUGCCCCUUAUGUCUUGGGCUUCACGCAUGCUACAAUGGCCGGUACAAAGGGCUGCGAUACCGUAAGGUGGAGCGAAUCCCAAAAAGCCGGUCUCAGUUCGGAUUGGGGUCUGCAACUCGACCCCAUGAAGUCGGAGUCGCUAGUAAUCGCAGAUCAGCAACGCUGCGGUGAAUACGUUCCCGGGCCUUGUACACACCGCCCGUCAAGUCACGAAAGUCGGUAACACCCGAAGCCCAUGGCCCAACCGUUCGCGGGGGGA